RNAcentral lists this ribosomal RNA (1365 nucleotides) under metagenome. RNAcentral describes it as "bacterial LSU rRNA". It matches the Rfam family "Bacterial large subunit ribosomal RNA", at positions 1570 to 2925 of the family's 2925-position model. The record is from RNAcentral.
GAGGCUGCUUGCAGCCGAAGUGAGUGAUACCCUGCUUCCAGGAAAAGCCACUAAGCUUCAGCUACACACGACCGUACCGCAAACCGACACUGGUGCGCGAGAUGAGUAUUCUAAGGCGCUUGAGAGAACUCAGGAGAAGGAACUCGGCAAAUUGACACCGUAACUUCGGAAGAAGGUGUGCCUUUAGUAGGUGAAGGGAUUUACUCCUGGAGCCCAAUGAGGUUGCAAGAAAUCGGUGGCUGCGACUGUUUAUUAAAAACACAGCACUCUGCAAACACGAAAGUGGACGUAUAGGGUGUGACGCCUGCCCGGUGCUGGAAGAUUAAAUGAUGGGGUGCAAGCUCUUGAUUGAAGUCCCAGUAAACGGCGGCCGUAACUAUAACGGUCCUAAGGUAGCGAAAUUCCUUGUCGGGUAAGUUCCGACCUGCGCGAAUGGCGUAACGAUGGCCACACUGUCUCCUCCUGAGACUCAGCGAAGUUGAAAUGUUUGUGAUGAUGCAAUCUCCCCGCGGAAAGACGGAAAGACCCCAUGAACCUUUACUGUAGCUUUGUACUGGACUUUGAACAGAUCUGUGUAGGAUAGGUGGGAGGCUUUGAAGUAGGGUCGCUAGAUCUUAUGGAGCCAACGUUGAAAUACCACCCUGGUGUGUUUGAGGUUCUAACCUAGGUCCAUUAUCUGGAUCGGGGACAGUGCAUGGUAGGCAGUUUGACUGGGGCGGUCUCCUCCCAAAGCGUAACGGAGGAGUUCGAAGGUACGCUAGUUACGGUCGGACAUCGUGACGAUAGUGCAAUGGCAUAAGCGUGCUUAACUGCGAGACUGACAAGUCGAGCAGAUGCGAAAGCAGGACAUAGUGAUCCGGUGGCUCUGUAUGGAAGAGCCAUCGCUCAACGGAUAAAAGGUACUCUGGGGAUAACAGGCUGAUACCGCCCAAGAGUUCAUAUCGACGGCGGUGUUUGGCACCUCGAUGUCGGCUCAUCUCAUCCUGGGGCUGUAGCCGGUCCCAAGGGUAUGGCUGUUCGCCAUUUAAAGAGGUACGUGAGCUGGGUUUAAAACGUCGUGAGACAGUUUGGUCCCUAUCUUCCGUGGGCGCUGCAGAUUUGAGGAAGCCUGCUCCUAGUACGAGAGGACCGGAGUGGACACACCUCUGGUGUAUCGGUUGUCACGCCAGUGGCAUUGCCGAGUAGCUAAGUGUGGAAGAGAUAACCGCUGAAAGCAUCUAAGCGGGAAACUCGUUUCAAGAUGAGAUCUGCCGGGGCCUUGAGCCCCCUAAAGAGUCGUUCAAGACCAGGACGUUGAUAGGUCAGGUGUGGAAGCGCAGUAAUGCGUUAAGCUAACUGAUACUAAUUGCUCGUGCGGCUUGACCG